GGAUGUGAGGGCAUCUGGCUGCGACAUCUGUCACUCCAUUGAUGGCCAGGGUUGAUUUGGCUGUUCUGGCUGGCUAGAUGGGUGUCCUCUUCCUCCCUCACUGCUCCAUGUGUGUCCCUCUCGAAGCUGCAGGCUUGGUUGAAGAGGAGGACAACUACUCCUGAUAGAGGAGGAUCAUUUCAUCAGUCAGGAGUAUAAGAGUAGCUGUACUCUUCUGCUAGAACCUCCAAUUAAGCUCUCCAGGAGUAGUUUUUUGUAGCUGACAAUUGGUAGAGGUUUCAGUCUACAAUU
Cavia porcellus (domestic guinea pig) is the source of this 291-nucleotide unclassified non-coding RNA. Its record names the gene 7SK. It matches the Rfam family "7SK RNA". Rfam says of the family: 7SK was discovered as an abundant small nuclear RNA in the mid-70s but a possible function has only recently been suggested. Two independent studies have found that 7SK RNA binds the CDK9/cyclin T complex (known as elongation factor P-TEFb). P-TEFb activates transcription by phosphorylating the C-terminal domain of RNA polymerase II. Lineage: Eukaryota; Metazoa; Chordata; Mammalia; Rodentia; Caviidae. The record is from Ensembl.